Molecule: transfer RNA, 71 nt
Filed under: Bos taurus (domestic cattle)
Lineage: Eukaryota; Metazoa; Chordata; Mammalia; Artiodactyla; Bovidae
Also listed under: 5 other names
Rfam family: tRNA
About the family: Transfer RNA (tRNA) molecules are approximately 80 nucleotides in length.
Source: Rfam by way of RNAcentral
UCCUGGUGGCUCAAAUGGUAAAGAAUCUGCCUGCAAUGCAGGAAAUCUAGGUUUGACCCCUGGGUCAGGAA